AUUGAACGCUGGCGGCAGGCCUAACACAUGCAAGUCGAGCGGAUGAAGGGAGCUUGCUCCUGGAUUCAGCGGCGGACGGGUGAGUAAUGCCUAGGAAUCUGCCUGGUAGUGGGGGAUAACGUCCGGAAACGGGCGCUAAUACCGCAUACGUCCUGAGGGAGAAAGUGGGGGAUCUUCGGACCUCACGCUAUCAGAUGAGCCUAGGUCGGAUUAGCUAGUUGGUGGGGUAAAGGCCUACCAAGGCGACGAUCCGUAACUGGUCUGAGAGGAUGAUCAGUCACACUGGAACUGAGACACGGUCCAGACUCCUACGGGAGGCAGCAGUGGGGAAUAUUGGACAAAGGGCAAAAGCCUGAUCCAGCCAUGCCGCGUGUGUGAAGAAGGUCUUCGGAUUGUAAAGCACUUUAAGUUGGGAGGAAGGGCAGUAAGUUAAUACCUUGCUGUUUUGACGUUACCAACAGAAUAAGCACCGGCUAACUUCGUG
This 484-nucleotide ribosomal RNA is filed under the name uncultured bacterium. Its description in RNAcentral is "partial 16S ribosomal RNA". It matches the Rfam family "Bacterial small subunit ribosomal RNA", at positions 30 to 507 of the family's 1533-position model. The record is from RNAcentral.